RNAcentral lists this ribosomal RNA (345 nucleotides) under Triticum aestivum (bread wheat). RNAcentral's name for it is "partial small subunit ribosomal RNA". The record is from RNAcentral. Lineage: Eukaryota; Viridiplantae; Streptophyta; Magnoliopsida; Poales; Poaceae.
AGACCAAGCUCAUCCGAUCUGCGUCGUGAUAUAGCCCAGUACAGGGGCACCACACACCCACUAUGCUUCAUAGACGAAGUAAUGGACCAUCAAAUCCCCGAGGGCUUCAAACCCGUAAACAUCGAAUCAUACGAUGGCACAACAGAUCCCGCGGUAUGGAUCAAGGAUUAUCUCCUUCAUAUCCACAUGGCCCGUGGUGAUGAUCUACACGCCAUCAAAUACCUCCUGCUCAAGCUUCAAGGACCAGCUCGACAUUGGGUUAACAGCCUACCAGCAGAGUCAAUUAGUUGUUGGGAGGACCUGGAAUCAGCAUUCCUUGACAACUUCCAGGGCACUUAUGUGUGA